GGCCCUAUGGGUUGUAAGCUACUUUUGUCAGGGAAUAAACCUCUCGAUUCACUCGGGAGCUGAAGGUACCUGAAGAAUAAGCACCGGCUAACUCCGUGCCAGCAGCCGCGGUAAUGCGGAGGGUGCAAGCGUUAUCCGGAAUCACUGGGUUUAAAGGGUGCGUAGGUGGCAUCGUAAGUCAGAAGUGAAAGUUUGCGGCUUAACCGUAAAAUUGCUUUUGAUACUGUAAUGCUUGAAUCAGGUUGAGGUUGGCGGAAUGUGGCAUGUAGCGGUGAAAUGCUCAGAUAUGCCAUAGAACACCGAUUGCGAAGGCAGCUGACUGGACCUGUAUUGACGCUGAGGCACGAAAGCGUGGGGAGCGAACAGGAUUAGAUACCCUGGUAGUCCACGCCCUAAACGGUGCUCACUCGAUGUGUGACCAUUAGGUCGCGCAUCCAAGCGAAAGCGUUAAGUGAGCCACCUGGGGAGUACGUUCGCAAGAAUG
Molecule: ribosomal RNA, 484 nt
Filed under: uncultured Bacteroidota bacterium
Lineage: Bacteria; Pseudomonadati; Bacteroidota
Description: bacterial SSU rRNA
Rfam family: Bacterial small subunit ribosomal RNA
Source: RNAcentral